CCAGGCCUCUCUCUCCUCCUCCCAGGCACUCCACCUCUGCCGUGCCCCUCCUCAUCCCCGUCACUUCUCUCCUCUGCCAGCGCGUGGUCGCCGCUGCCUUUCCUCUAGCCGCCCCACCGACCAUCUCUCUGCCACUUCCUCUCUUCCCCGCGACACAUCGCCUCCCCACAUUCUUGAUACGGCGUCGGUGUGCGUGGUGGUUUCGGACUAGGCAGGUUGUGGGCUGGGAGAGCAGGGGCGGCAUGGUUCUUGUGAUGGGUGUGAAGGGGUAGGGGAGGCUUAGGAGGACGAUCAUGGGAAGGCGCUUUGAGGCGGACCUCUAGUAGCGCUCGGGGCGCCGGUGGAGUGCAGCCGGCCAUCGCUACCGACCGCUGCUUGUCGGUCGUUGUCCCUCAUCUCCAAUCUAGAUGUAUACAGAUCUGACGAAGAAGAGGAGAGGAAGGAACUUGAGGAAGAGUUAAGAACAAGAAUGAUUUUGAAAUUCUAGACACGGGGCGAUGGAGUGCAAUAAAAUGGGGAGAAAACAUGAGACGACGCGUAUAGUAUGCAGAGUGAGCACAAGGGAAAGAAGCAAGCGUCACGGUGAUGCUGACAGGACAUUGUAGGUCGAGAUGGAGAAGCAGGCGGCGAGAGCAAUGUCGAGAAAGGAAACAGUGGAACCCAAGGGGAGAAAUUUCUGAGAGUGUAGUAGUCGUCCUAAAAAUAGUUUUCUAAUAGUCGAUAUCGUUAUCCUUCUGAUCAAAUUCUUUCAAUCCCUUUGUAUUUUACAGGAGUAUAGAUUUGUGCAUCACCGUACUUUUGUUUCCGAAUUGGCCGAUUAUCGCUGGCUUAUUGCCCGAGAAAUAGCAAGAACGAAAUUGUAAGGGCUUGCAUGUACAAUUAUUGAUAACAUACUCUUAUCUUGUACUCCCUCAGUUC
Molecule: long non-coding RNA, 918 nt
Organism: Triticum aestivum (bread wheat)
Lineage: Eukaryota; Viridiplantae; Streptophyta; Magnoliopsida; Poales; Poaceae
Exons: 3
Source: RefSeq, a predicted model, not a curated record